RNAcentral lists this ribosomal RNA (495 nucleotides) under uncultured bacterium. RNAcentral describes it as "bacterial SSU rRNA". It matches the Rfam family "Bacterial small subunit ribosomal RNA", at positions 899 to 1397 of the family's 1533-position model. The record is from RNAcentral.
ACUCAAAGGAAUUGACGGGGGCCCGCACAAGCGGCGGAGCAUGUUGCUUAAUUCGACGCAACGCGAAGAACCUUACCAAGGUUUGACAUGGGCCGUUUACCCCUGGAGACAGGGGGUCCUUCGGGGCGGUUCACAGGUGGUGCAUGGCUGUCGUCAGCUCGUGUCGUGAGAUGUUGGGUUAAGUCCCGCAACGAGCGCAACCCUUGUCCCGUGUUGCCAGCAUCAGGUUGGGGACUCACGGGAGACUGCCGGGGUCAACUCGGAGGAAGGUGGGGAUGACGUCAAGUCAUCAUGCCCCUUAUGUCUUGGGCUGCAAACAUGCUACAAUGGCCGGUACAGAGGGCUGCGAGCCUGCGAGGGUGAGCGAAUCCCGGAAAGCCGGCCUCAGUUCGGAUCGGGGUCUGCAACCCGACCCCGUGAAGUCGGAGUCGCUAGUAAUCGCGGAUCAGCAUUGCCGCGGUGAAUACGUUCCCGGGCCUUGUACACACCGCCCGU